CAUGGCAAUAUACUUGUCUUCCAUUUAUGACAACUCAAAAGGCCAAAGCAUAAUGACAGUAAUGAAGCACAACUCGACUGCAAUAGCCAGGUACUAAUACAUAUAAAUGUUUUAACAAGCUAUUGCCCACCAGCUCAGAUUGUGGCUCAGGGCACCAGCUCUCUGUUCUCUAUCCCUUUUUCUUUUCCCUUGUACAAUCAAUAUAUGCGGAGAUCCUAUAUGAGAAGCUUGAGUUUACCUUAACUUGCAGGAGAAAGCCAGCCAACCAAUUCCAUGUUAGGUCUCAAAAUACCCUCUCAGCUUUCAAAUUUUGAAACUAUGAAGUUUUUUUGGGGAUGCUCCACCCACAUUUACACCAGAAAUUAGCAGACAGUUCGUCCAUAACAGAUUGAUGCAAUGUAGAGGUUUUUGGACCAUUUUUCCUUUACAUGGGUGCUUGGGAAGGCAGAGGUACGAAGUGUUUCCUGAGUUUCAUCCACCAUUUUCCGUUUUGGUAUGCUUAAUAUGAAGGCGGCCUGAUCAGCAGUGGCAGCCAUAGAUGUGAUCCUGUAACCACUUUCCCAUCGCCGAUGUAUUCCUUCACUUGGGUACAAAAAAUCAAGCUCCACAACCUGAUCUGAAUAUCCAGCAUUCCUGGACAUCACCACACCCCAGCGACUGCCAGCAGUUGUCAUGGAUGUGACAUGAAAGCCUUCUUUCCACUUCUUAUUUAUCCACUUGAAAGGAAAAGAUUCACUCACUUUGUAUGACUGCUGGGUGUAAGGAGUUCCUGCAUGAUUAUAAACAUUUAAGAAUAUUCUUUGGCAGUGGAUAAUCCUAUUCAAUUUCUUGGAAAAUAGACCUAAAUUAAUUCAAGCUCGUAUGCUGAACAGUCUGACCAAGUACACCAGCCAUAAUUAGUAAAAUGCAAUUUGCAAACUAAAAGUUAGAUCUAACACUUCUAUUUCAUGUCACUUACCCAAAUUUCAAGUUAAACUAGACAGCAGACAUCAUAAAUCAAUAAAGCACAAAAAGGUACCAACCUUUGGACAUAACAACUAAUGAACUUCCAUUGCUUGCACCAGCUAUUGAACUAAUAUAGAAAUUCUUUUCCCACUGUUCCAUAAUCCAAUCCUAAUAAAAAUUUAAGAAUGAUAAACAAAGUUAAUAGUUCCAUUGGUUUUACAAGUCACUGACAGAAGAUGCUAGCAAUUAAUGUUUUCAAACUAUAACCUUGUGCAGGAAGACAGCUGACAGUUCAUAAACCUGCGUAGUGAAACCAGUUCCAGCAUCCAUGAUUAGGGCCCAGAGAUUAGCUGAAGAGGCCACACAACUGAUAUAUAACCCAUCUUCAUUCCCUUUGUCCACAUGCUGGCGCAGCCUUGCAUCUGCCACAUUAUAAUGAUAUCUCUGCUUCAUUGGUCGACGAGCAUUGUAAACAGAAAUCCACUGUGUAGCAGGACUGCCUAAUCGUACUUUCUUCUUUGGUUGCUCAUCCUCUUCCAAGUUUAUAAGCAAUCUUCCACGCUUUUGUCCA
This 1516-nucleotide unclassified non-coding RNA is filed under the name Hevea brasiliensis (rubber tree). The record is from RNAcentral. Lineage: Eukaryota; Viridiplantae; Streptophyta; Magnoliopsida; Malpighiales; Euphorbiaceae.